This 386-nucleotide ribosomal RNA is filed under the name uncultured beta proteobacterium. RNAcentral's name for it is "bacterial SSU rRNA". It matches the Rfam family "Bacterial small subunit ribosomal RNA", at positions 1054 to 1448 of the family's 1533-position model. The record is from RNAcentral. Lineage: Bacteria; Pseudomonadati; Pseudomonadota; Betaproteobacteria.
GUCAGCUCGUGUCGUGAGAUGUUGGGUUAAGUCCCGCAACGAGCGCAACCCUUGUCUUUAGUUGCUACGCAAGAGCACUCUAAAGAGACUGCCGGUGACAAACCGGAGGAAGGUGGGGAUGCCGUCAAGUCCUCAUGGCCCUUAUGGGUAGGGCUUCACACGUCAUACAAUGGUACGUACAGAGGGUUGCCAACCCGCGAGGGGGAGCUAAUCUCUUAAACGUAUCGUAGUCCGGAUCGUAGUCUGCAACUCGACUACGUGAAGCUGGAAUCGCUAGUAAUCGCGGAUCAGCAUGCCGCGGUGAAUACGUUCCCGGGUUCUGUACACACCGCCCGUCACACCAUGGGAGUGGGUUUUGCCAGAAGCCGUAGCCUAACCGCAAGGGG